Molecule: long non-coding RNA, 2616 nt
Organism: Ictalurus punctatus (channel catfish)
Lineage: Eukaryota; Metazoa; Chordata; Actinopteri; Siluriformes; Ictaluridae
Source: Ensembl
UUUCUCCCUAAUUGAGCCACGUAGCUGUCACAACAUUGGAGAACUGUCUGUUUAUAUUUCUUAUAUAUCAAACUGAAACUUAGUAGUAAACCUAGUAUACUGCUACAUAAUCUUUUUAUUUUGUGUAGCAAGAAUGGAUUUUGUCAACAGUCUACUGCAGAGGAUUGACACCAGACAGAAGAGACACCAGCACAGCUCCUGGAACCCCUUUUCCUUGAAUCACUUGAUCAAGAUUUCCCUAAUCAGGGAAUGGCGAGCCACUCAAUUGCAUACAGAAGAUUUGAACAUGUCCCUCAGGAUAUCCGCCUAUGCGGCAGGACUGACACAACUUGUCAUGGAAGGAAACCGAGAUGAGAUUAACAUGGAAUUAAGGAUUGAAGAAAUUGUUGAAAUUGGGAGCACUGAUCUGUCAUCAGGACACACAAGUGGUAGUGAAUAUGUUUCAUCCAGUGGAAGUUCUGACUCUGAUGCCAUCUAUAUGGACUCUGACAGCACUUGUGAAGCAAAAGACUAAGAAAAAGCCCAAAAGUCCAUAAAUGAAGAUGGUAGGUCAGACAAUGUAAAAGUGAAUGUUAAAAAGUGCACAAAAAAAGAAGGAGGGAAGAGAGAGUGAGAUAAGAAAAACUUUUUUGUAUACUGUGGUACAGAGAAAAGCAAACUGGGAAGACAUCUCGAGAGAAAAUAUGCAAAAGAAACUGAAGUAGAACAAGCAUUAUCAAAAACUAAGGGGACAAAGGCAUGACAGAUUACUUGGACAACUACGAAAUAAAGGGAAUUUCCACUAUAGUACCGAAAUCAAGACUAUCUGCUAUGAUAGUAUUGCGAUGGGUUUUUUAAAAGAAAGGAAUUGUGAAAAGCAUAACCUAGUCUUUUCUGCAUUUUUGAAAAAGACAACAUUUCAAGGAAACCGAAGAGAGUCCAAGCUGUAGCACCUCGAAGUACACCAUGUAAACCUGCCGUGUCUGAAGGGUGUAAAUGCAUCAUUCUGAGCAUGCAUCAAGAUGACCUCUCUAAUCAGGUGAAGUCAGACACUCUCAUCUAUAAAUAUGAAGAAAUGAUGUUUGAGCUCCAUGGACAGGACAAAUCGCAGCACAAUUACAUCAGUCAGAAAAUGCGGGAGUUGGGGAGGUUUAUGCUGGCAGUAAAGAAGCUUAACCCUGCUGUACAACGUCUAGUGGAUGUUUUGUGUGCCAACAAGAUUUCAGCUAGCAGUAUCGGCAGCAAUGGAAGCAAGUGGGUUUGAUCCAUAAAAAACAGAUGAGACACCCCAUCUUUAGCUUGUAAAAUUGGGGACACCCUCAAGAAAGUCUGUGAAAUUGUGAUAGGCGAGAGUCUGAUCAAGGAAGACCGUGAGGCAGGACAGAAGGCCAAGAAUUUCAUCAGGUUGCUUCACUCUGACUGGAACACAUUUGUUUCAAAACGAGCUAGUACCAACCUUGAACAAAACAAAUGGAACAAAGCUGAUGUUCUUCCACCGACUGAAGAUGAUGUCAGGUUGCACAAACACCUCAAAAUUUUGGAAGAUCAGUCAAAAGAACAAUUAACCAAGAGCUCAGAUCCUGUGGCAUGGAGAAAUCUUUCAGAAAGUGUUCUAGCGCAAAUAAUAUUGUUUAACAGGAGACGAGAAGGUGAAGCUGGAAAGCUGUUCGUAGAAACAUACCAGAAAUGAAACACAGCUCCACUGAAUCCUGAGGUCUUGCAGAGUUUAUCCAAGCUGGAACAAGAUUUUGCCACCAUUGCCCCAAAUAUACACAAAUCUGAUACGUCCAUGAAUCAAUGAAACACUAUUGGUGUUUCUAUAACACCUCAGUACAAGCAGAAAACACAAAUUUUUACCCUCUCCAAGUUACUGAAGGUGCCAGAAUCCCAUUCAGAUACUGAUAUUUAGAGCAGUAAAUGAUGUACUGUAGUUACUGUUGCAGCCCAACUAUGUAUUAUUCGAAUUCCUUAUAAAGUCCUUUUCUACUACUUCAAAAGUGUAUGUCAAUUACGUUUGGACAGCUAAAGUCCAGAUUUAUGUCUAAACCAUCUCUGAAUCAUUCCACAAUGGACUUGAUAUUGUAGUGGCUUGUGGAGGGAGUUUUGCACAAUGUGAAUGUACUACAUCAGGAAGGUAUGCUAAGAUUGUAGGUAGACCAGUGAGAAGAUACAAUAAGAGCUUAAUUGAAGGUGGAGUAGGGAGGGCCAUGUGACUCUGGACAAUUUAAUUUUAGUGUACGGUUAAACACAUUUUUUCCGGGUCAUCUUAUUCAGCCUGUGGAAAAGAAAAAAUCCUUAAUUAAAACUUGAGCAAAGGAGAAUAUUAAACAUUUAAUGCUUUAUUCAACUACUUACUUCUUUCUUUCUCCAUUUGCUUAAUUUCCAUCUCCAGUUUUCUCAUUUUCAGUCUGGUCUGCUUUCCUCAGUUCAAUUUCUUGGGCCAAAUAUUUUUUAGAAAUGUCUUGAACAUCUGUGUCCUUUAACAGAAAUAAGCACAAGGUAUGCUAUGUUUGUGGUUAAAUGUACAAGUACAAUUCACCUGUUCAUCCUUUACACAUGAAACUCUGCUUGGGUUCAUGAGGUGCACAAACACUGAAGAUUAGUGUUAACAAUCCGUACAUAUGGCCCAGAGAACAC